CAAGGACUCAAAGCAGCCGCAGCAGGAGAUAUCAAACUUGUCGAGCCACCCAGAGACCAACAAUAUCAAUACCAGCAGCAACAUGAAUCCUGCUGAGAUUAAAGAUUUUCAGAUUGGAAUUGCAGAAAAAGAUGAAGCUAAGAAGCAACAAUUAGCUCCUAAAAGAAGUUCCAAUAAAGAUAGACACACUAAAGUUGAAGGCAGAGGAAGGAGGAUUCGCAUGCCUGCGCUCUGUGCGGCUAGGAUUUUCCAACUAACACGUGAAUUGGGUCAUAAAUCUGAUGGGGAGACAAUCCAGUGGCUGUUGCAGCAAGCGGAGCCAUCCAUAAUUGCUGCAACUGGCAAUGGAACAAUUCCAGCCUCCGCUUUAGCUGCGGCCGGACCCUGUGUUUCGCAACAGGGGAUCUCUGUUUCGGUUGGUUUGCAGCAAAAGAUGGGUGAAUUGGGUGCAAGUAUUAGUAGCGGUAGUAGCAGUAGGACCAUUUGGCCAAUGGUUGGUGGGAAUUUUGGGAGACCCCAUUUGGCCACAACAGGGAUAUGGCCCCCAUCUGCUCCUGACGUCACUACUUUGGGCCACAAUUUGGGCACUGAAAGUUCAAAUUGUCUGCAAAAGAUAAGUUUCCCUGGGUUUGACGUGCCGUCCACCAAUUUGAAUCCUAUGAGUUUUACAUCUAUGUUGGGUGCCACAAACCCCCAGCAGCUACCUGGGUUGGAGCUUGGAUUAUCACAAGAGGGUCCUAUUGGGGUUAUGAAUUCUCAGUCUCUGAACCAGUUUUACCAGCAGAUGGGGCAUUCAAGAAUGCACCACCAUUCACAACCGCAAAAUCAGCAUCAGCAGCCUUCUCCCGAGGAUGGUUCUCAGGGAUCAGGACAGUAGAGCUUGCACAUAAUUCCGAUUUGCGGUACAUAAAAUGAAAUUGAUGUUUCCCAAGCUAGAUUUUCUGUGAAUGGUUUUGCUUUUAGGAGGCGUUUCCUUAAAUAGUUUAAAAGACCUUUUUAUCAUUCAUUUUGCCCUUUAGAUCCUAGUGGAGUGUUUAUGUCUUGUUUGUUGAAAUAAACAUAGAAAUCAUAUAUCCAGAAGCAAUUUUCUCUCAUGCUUAUCUGUCAGCACAGGAAUGGGAUUUCCCUGAAUUCUGAACACCUAAGAGCCAAAUAUUCAGCUCUUAAUUCUUUAUGAUGGACCCUUAGGUGGAAGUUUAACGAUGUUUUUCUCAUUUUUAUUAGGCUAAUUCAGUGUGAACCUAGAAACCACCUAGGAUAGCUGGUUGCCCGGAUGAAUUCCGACCCUCAGUAUAUGGAUAGCUCCGCCAAUGAGAUACUAGAAAGUCGGUGUAUGUUUCUAUAUAGAUAUGUGUAUACCUGAUGUAUGUUGCUACCCAAACUAGCUUUCUUAUAGAAGAUCCAAGCAUCAAUUGAAAGUUCCAUCCUUUAUUCAGCUCAAUGUUCUUGAAAAGUUCCAUCCUUGGAGUUGUAGCUAUCUCCCCUCCCCCCCUCAACAGUUUUAUCUUCUCCAGAUGAUGAAAGCACUUGGAGUUAAGCCCUAAUUUGUCGUUGUUCCAACAAAUAAUAAAUGAGUAGAGGAAGGUAUGUGAAUCAAGCAUGGAAUGGAUUGAGGCAGUGCCAGCCCAUGAUAUUUUUAUUGGUUUUGCAUAAAUAUGAAGAGGCUUUUUCGUAAAUGUUACUUAUGUUUACCAUUCUAAUGGUGAAAUCGAUCUCUGCACUCUAUUCAGCUGCUUCUAAUAGAUACAGAAGCAGGUCUUAAUAUAGAAAAAGUUUUUUUCUUUUCAUCUUUAAAUCACCUUAUCCUCCACUAUAAACUCAGUACGUAAUCUGAUAAAUUUGGCAAGGCGUUGAUAUAUUUAGGUUAAGGAUGGUACAUUUAUAGAUUUAUAACAGAUCGAAGAAUCAAAGAAAGAGUUGUCAUUGCAUCAUUUGUUCAGUCAUGAUUGUGACGACGUCUGAUGCCUUACGACAUGAUUACUGGCAGGGACAUUUCUAUUGCAGUUGUGAUCUCAAGAAUGAGAAGUCAGUCAUACAUGCUGGUCCUUGCAGAUUCCUGUGGUGACAGAAAAAAGAUGUAAAAAAAAUGUAGUGUUACUUAUGGAUGAUACCUUUCAUAAGUGUGCAACUUUUCCUCCUGCCAUCUCUAGUCGUGUUCUGGUUGAAAGGUGCCGUGACUUGCUAUGGUUUUUUGCCAUUAAUGUUGAAGACUCAAAUUGACCUUAGCACCUUUAAUAUGGUCAGAUUUUGCGAAUUCAGGCCAAGGGUCCGGGUUCGCUGUAUAUACGUGGUAUAGGUGCAUAUGCAGAUAAGACUUUGGUCAAUUUUCAGUUUGAAAAGGAAAACUGUAAUGUAGGAUAUGCAAGAAAGUAUGAUCAACAGCAGAAUCAGUUGGCAUGACAAAGAUCAUGUCAAUGGUAAUUGCAAGAUAUUCAAAUCUGUAAAAGCAUGAAAGGAAGAUGCUGUCAAUGAAUGAAUUUUAGUGUUAAGUCAACAAAAGAUGUUUGCUUUCUCUUAUUCAGUCAUCUUCUACUUGAACUUCAUGGAUUCUUGAUAUACAUGCGAUUCAAUUGGAUCAUUUUCUUUGCUUCUGUCUU
RNAcentral lists this long non-coding RNA (2597 nucleotides) under Capsicum annuum. RNAcentral describes it as "long non-coding RNA (CANN_LNC003862)". The record is from RNAcentral. Lineage: Eukaryota; Viridiplantae; Streptophyta; Magnoliopsida; Solanales; Solanaceae.